CUGGCCUUGACAUGCUGAGAACUUUCCAGAGAUGGAUUGGUGCCUUCGGGAGCUCAGACACAGGUGCUGCAUGGCUGUCGUCAGCUCGUGUCGUGAGAUGUUGGGCUAAGUCCCGUAACGAGCGCAACCCUUGUCCUUAGUUACCAGCACCUCGGGUGGGCACUCUAAGGAGACUGCCGGUGACAAACCGGAGGAAGGUGGGGAUGACGUCAAGUCAUCGUGGCCCUUACGGCCAGGGCUACACACGCGCUACAAUGGUCGGUACAAAGGGUUGCCAAGCCGCGAGGUGGAGCUAAUCCCAUAAAACCGAUCGUAGUCCGGAUCGCAGUCUGCAACUCGACUGCGUGAAGUCGGAAUCGCUAGUAAUCGUGAAUCAGAAUGUCACGGUGAAUA
RNAcentral lists this ribosomal RNA (393 nucleotides) under uncultured Pseudomonas sp. Its description in RNAcentral is "bacterial SSU rRNA". It matches the Rfam family "Bacterial small subunit ribosomal RNA", at positions 975 to 1368 of the family's 1533-position model. Lineage: Bacteria; Pseudomonadati; Pseudomonadota; Gammaproteobacteria; Pseudomonadales; Pseudomonadaceae. The record is from RNAcentral.